GGCAGUCCUUCCCUUUGAUCCUUUGAUGACACUAAGAUUGGAGGUGUUGUGGACAGCGAGGAAGGCUUUCAAAGCUUGCAGAGGGAUCUGGACCAACUGGAAAAAUGGGCCAGAAAAUGGCAGAUGGAAUUUAAUGCAGACAAGUGUGAGGUGUUGCAAUUUGGAAGGACAAAUCAAGUCUAGGUACCAUAUCCGAUGCGGACGUUGGUGACCAUGGUUUUCCAUAUAGAUCUACCCCUCGUUCUUUGGAUGAUUUCCAUUUCCUCGAUGUGUAGCCACCUGGCUGGGCUUUUGUUGUACUUAAGCUGAGGUCUUCCUCUAGAAAAGUUUUGGAUUUGCGGCAAUCAUUAGUUUUCCUCUUCUGAGACUUUGUCCAUUUUGCUGACUCAGCUGACAGCUUUCUUCUGGACACCUGUAAUAACUGGGAGAAAAUACCCUUGGUAUGGAACCCAUGGUGGAUACAGAGAUACUAUUUAGAUUGGCAAGAAAGUCAAG
Molecule: long non-coding RNA, 495 nt
Organism: Mobula hypostoma (lesser devil ray)
Lineage: Eukaryota; Metazoa; Chordata; Chondrichthyes; Myliobatiformes; Myliobatidae
Exons: 3
Source: RefSeq, a predicted model, not a curated record